Molecule: ribosomal RNA, 400 nt
Filed under: uncultured bacterium
Lineage: Bacteria
Description: bacterial SSU rRNA
Rfam family: Bacterial small subunit ribosomal RNA
Source: RNAcentral
GGGGAAUAUUGCACAAUGGGGGAAACCCUGAUGCAGCGACGCCGCGUGAGUGAAGAAGUAUUUCGGUACGUAAAGCUCUAUCAGCAGGGACGAUAAUGACGGUACCUGACUAAGAAGCCCCGGCUAACUACGUGCCAGCAGCCGCGGUAAUACGUAGGGGGCAAGCGUUAUCCGGAUUUACUGGGUGUAAAGGGAGCGUAGACGGCUAUGUAAGUCAGAUGUGAAAACCCAGGGCUCAACCCUGGGACUGCAUUUGAAACUAUGUAGCUAGAGUGCAGGAGAGGUAAGUGGAAUUCCUAGUGUAGCGGUGAAAUGCGUAGAUAUUAGGAGGAACACCAGUGGCGAAGGCGGCUUACUGGACUGUAACUGACGUUGAGGCCCGAAAGCGUGGGGAGCAAAC